ACUCCUACGGGAGGCAGCAGUGGGGAAUAUUGCACAAUGGGCGCAAGCCUGAUGCAGCCAUGCCGCGUGUAUGAAGAAGGCCUUCGGGUUGUAAAGUACUUUCAGUCGUGAGGAAGGUUGUAGUGCGAAUAGCACUAUGAUUUGACGUUAGCGACAGAAGAAGCACCGGCUAACUCCGUGCCAGCAGCCGCGGUAAUACA
Molecule: ribosomal RNA, 200 nt
Filed under: uncultured bacterium
Lineage: Bacteria
Description: partial 16S ribosomal RNA
Rfam family: Bacterial small subunit ribosomal RNA
Source: RNAcentral